CAAUAGCGUAUAUUAAAGUUGUUGCGGUUAAAAAGCUCGUAGUUGGAUUUCUGCUGAGAACGACCGGUCCGCCCUCUGGGUGUGUAUCUGGCUCUUUCUUGGCAUCUUCUUGGUGAACAUUGCUGCACUUGACUGUGUGGAGCGCUACCCAGGACUUUUACUUUGAGGAAAUUAGAGUGUUUCAAGCAGGCAUACGCCUUGAAUACAUUAGCAUGGAAUAAUAAGAUAGGACCUCGGUUCUAUUUUGUUGGUUUCUAGAGCUGAGGUAAUGAUUAAUAGGGAUAGUUGGGGGCAUUCGUAUUUAACUGUCAGAGGUGAAAUUCUUGGAUUUGUUAAAGACGGACUACUGCGAANGNAUUUGCNAAGGAUGUUUNCAUUG
Molecule: ribosomal RNA, 379 nt
Filed under: uncultured eukaryote
Lineage: Eukaryota
Description: partial 18S ribosomal RNA
Rfam family: Eukaryotic small subunit ribosomal RNA
Source: RNAcentral